GGCGGGAUGCUGGAGCGGCUUAACAGGUCUGUUUCGAAAACAGGUGUGCCACAAUGGCGCCGUAGGUUCAAAUCCUACUCCCGCCG
Molecule: transfer RNA, 86 nt
Filed under: Parcubacteria bacterium DG_74_2
Lineage: Bacteria; Candidatus Parcubacteria
Description: tRNA-Ser
Rfam family: tRNA
About the family: Transfer RNA (tRNA) molecules are approximately 80 nucleotides in length. Their secondary structure includes four short double-helical elements and three loops (D, anti-codon, and T loops).
Source: RNAcentral